This is a microRNA precursor of Oryza sativa Japonica Group (Japanese rice), 206 nucleotides long. It matches the Rfam family "MIR812 microRNA precursor family". The record is from Rfam. Lineage: Eukaryota; Viridiplantae; Streptophyta; Magnoliopsida; Poales; Poaceae.
AAAAAGGUCAAACUCUAGGUUUGUUGUCCAACCUUGACGGUCCGUCUUAUAUAAAAUUUUUUUAUAAUUCAUAUUUUCAUUGUUGUUAGAUGAUAAAAUAUGAUUAAUAUUUUAUGCGUGACUUGUCUUUUUAUUUUUUUUAUAAUUUUUUUCAAAUAAGACGGAUGGUCAAAACGUUGGACAUGGAAAUCAGGGUUUGUCUUUUU